This is a long non-coding RNA of Thunnus maccoyii (southern bluefin tuna), 1097 nucleotides long. RefSeq lists it as uncharacterized. The record is from RefSeq and is a predicted model, not a curated record. The transcript has 3 exons. NCBI's taxonomy places the organism in Eukaryota, Metazoa, Chordata, Actinopteri, Scombriformes, Scombridae.
UCAGAUGAAGAACAAACAAAAAUUAAAUGAAAUCUCUAUUCAUAAAAUCUCUGCUACACAGUAAAACAGAACUAUUUACAUUUUUUAAAAUCAAAACUUGUUUCUUGGUUUGUUUUUAUGGGUUGUUGAUUUUUUUUUAAUGGAAAACAACAGAAUAAAACAUAAUACAGGAUAAAUCACGUUUCACUAUAUGCGUAAUGUGCGCUUGCUCCAAUGGUAAAGUGCUCAGGAUGUAGGAACAUGUCUUUACGUAACUCAGUAAACUUCAGAUAACUAUCUUGACAUAUUAUUUACUCUCUGAAGGUCGCGUCCAUGUUUCAGUAGAUUUCUAAAUGCUCAGGGGGCGCAAUAGGUCCUUCAUGACGUUUGUAAAUCGGCGAUACGCCAUUUUGCAACAGUCAUUGGUUCAGCUCUUUGCGCACAGUUCACCACCCAAUAACACAACUUGUGAUUGGACGAGAGAGAGCCAACAUGGCAGCCAGCGAUCUCGUUCAACCAAAACAUUGCUGCUCAGCCAUUAAGGAAAGCGACAGGGAGAGAAGCGAGCGAGAGAACCACAAACACACACCAGGAGAGGGCUUUGUGGAAGUUACCAUACUACACUCCAUGGAUGACCCUGAUGAAGACCACAAGCUGAAACGCGUCAGUCAACUAAUAAAGUUGUUCCUCAUACUACAAGUGUUGCGGGAGUUCUCAUCUUUCCACUCUUUAUUGCUUCCCUGAGCUUCUCUCACAGACAGACCUGAACAUUGGUUAAACAAUGGUGCCUCCCCCUGGUCAAAUGAGUUGCAUUAUGAGCCAAUUUUAACCAGCAAGUAGGAUAAAACCUCUGAUUUGCACACCUCAUAUAUGUGACUGAUCUACUUUGUACCUUUUCUUACUGUCAGGUAGGUGAUCUUGACCAAAACCAACAUGUCACACCACUGCACACCCGCAUGUUGCCUCCAUGCUUUGACCUGCAUAUUGUGUUAGAUGCUAUUAUAAGUAAAUGAAGCAGGUGUCUACUUGAUUUAUACAGUUUUCGGUUAUAAAACUGAAGGAAGGCCGUCCAUAUGAGUCAAAUCAAGUAGAUAUCUUUCAAUGUUACAGUCUUUUCA